AGAGUUUGAUCAUGGCUCAGGAUGAACGCUGGCGGCGUGCCUAACACAUGCAAGUCGAGCGAUUCUCUUCGGAGAAGAGCGGCGGACGGGUGAGUAACGCGUGGGUAACCUGCCUCAUACACACGGAUAACAUACCGAAAGGUAUGCUAAUACAAGAUGAUAUAAGAGAUUCGCAUGGAUUUCUUAUCAAAGCUCCGGCGGUAUGAGAUGGACCCGCGUCUGAUUAGCUAGUUGGUAAGGUAACGGCUUACCAAGGCAACGAUCAGUAGCCGACCUGAGAGGGUGAUCGGCCACAUUGGAACUGAGACACGGUCCAAACUCCUACGGGAGGCAGCAGUGGGGAAUAUUGCACAAUGGGCGAAAGCCUGAUGCAGCAACGCCGCGUGAGCGAUGAAGGCCUUCGGGUCGUAAAGCUCUGUCCUCAAGGAAGAUAAUGACGGUACUUGAGGAGGAAGCCCCGGCUAACUACGUGCCAGCAGCCGCGGUAAUACGUAGGGGGCUAGCGUUAUCCGGAUUUACUGGGCGUAAAGGGUGCGUAGGUGGUUUCUUAAGUCAGGAGUGAAAGGCUACGGCUUAACCGUAGUAAGCUCUUGAAACUGGGAAACUUGAGUGCAGGAGAGGAAAGUGGAAUUCCUAGUGUAGCGGUGAAAUGCGUAGAUAUUAGGAGGAACACCAGUAGCGAAGGCGGCUUUCUGGACUGUAACUGACACUGAGGCACGAAAGCGUGGGGAGCAAACAGGAUUAGAUACCCUGGUAGUCCACGCCGUAAACGAUGAGUACUAGGUGUCGGGGGUUACCCCCCUCGGUGCCGCAGCUAACGCAUUAAGUACUCCGCCUGGGGAGUACGCUCGCAAGAGUGAAACUCAAAGGAAUUGACGG
Molecule: ribosomal RNA, 879 nt
Filed under: uncultured bacterium
Lineage: Bacteria
Description: bacterial SSU rRNA
Rfam family: Bacterial small subunit ribosomal RNA
Source: RNAcentral